CCCUUCGGGGUACACGAGAGGCGGACGGCUGAGUAACGCGUGGGAACGCACCCUACACUGAGGGAUAAGAUACCGAAAGGUGUUCUAAUACCGCAUACGGUCUUCGGAUUAAAGUCUUCGGACGGUGAAGGAGCGGCCCGCGUCAUAUUAGGUAGUUGGUGGGGUAAUGGCCUACCAAGCCGAUGAUGUGUAGCUGGUCUGAGAGGAUGAUCAGCCAGACUGGAACUGAGAACGGUCCAGACUCCUACGGGAGGCAGCAGCG
This 262-nucleotide ribosomal RNA is filed under the name uncultured Rhodocista sp. RNAcentral describes it as "partial 16S ribosomal RNA". It matches the Rfam family "Bacterial small subunit ribosomal RNA", at positions 76 to 356 of the family's 1533-position model. The record is from RNAcentral. Lineage: Bacteria; Pseudomonadati; Pseudomonadota; Alphaproteobacteria; Rhodospirillales; Azospirillaceae.